UACGGAGGGGGCUAGCGUUGUUCGGAAUUACUGGGCGUAAAGGGUGCGUAGGCGGCUGUCCAAGUCGGGUGUGAAAGCCCCGGGCUCAACCCGGGAUGUGCAUCCGAGACUGAAUGGCUUGAGUUCGGGAGAGGUGAGUGGAAUUCCCAGUGUAGAGGUGAAAUUCGUAGAUAUUGGGAAGAACACCGGUGGCGAAGGCGGCUCACUGGACCGACACUGACGCUGAGGCACGAAAGCGUGGGGAGCAAACAGG
Molecule: non-coding RNA, 253 nt
Filed under: uncultured bacterium
Lineage: Bacteria
Also listed under: 2 other names
Description: partial 16S ribosomal RNA
Rfam family: Bacterial small subunit ribosomal RNA
Source: RNAcentral